RNAcentral lists this unclassified non-coding RNA (1732 nucleotides) under Apis florea (little honeybee). Its description in RNAcentral is "lachesin-like, transcript variant X1". The record is from RNAcentral. Lineage: Eukaryota; Metazoa; Arthropoda; Insecta; Hymenoptera; Apidae.
GAUCUCGCGCGUUUCGAUGGAAGGGUAUUCUGGAGAACGUUUCCGGUGGAUGCUGGUCGACGGUGUGGCCGAUCAUAAAUCGGUUUUAGAUUCGAGCGGGCGUGCGUGCGCGGGGGAGCGACGUUUCUGUGGAUCGUUUCGCGAGUGGAAGGACGAGAGUUCGGGGGAGGAGAGGAGGGACGACUCUGUUGGUGUGUCUGUUCGUUGCGGAUGCGGAUCUUACGCGGGUCGUGAUUGUGACAACGAGUCGGCCAAUUUGCAGCCGAGAAUGCUGGUGCUUGUUAAAAGGAGGAAGGAAACGGGUUUCAAUCUUGUGACGAGGAUGGCGGCCGUCUUUGUUAUCGCGUGCCUCCUGCUGAUGGACACUCGGCCGACGUCUGCAGCCUUUAACAAUGUUACAGUCGUUUCAGUUACCACCGUCCCGGAUCCGGAGUUCGUUGAUGAAAUAGGAAAUAUCACAGUCCCAGCAGGGCGUAACGUGAAAUUAGCCUGCAGUGUUAAGGAUUUGGGACCGUACAAGGUGGCCUGGAUGCUUUUCGACAAGAGCGCCAUCCUGACAGUACAAAGUCACGUUAUUACCAGGAACCCUAGGAUAUCCGUGACCCAUGAUAAGCAUAGGACCUGGUUCCUACAUAUCAAAGAUGUUCGGGAGGAUGACAAGGGAAAGUACAUGUGUCAGAUUAAUACGGCAACCGCGAAAACCCAGUAUGGCUAUCUGCACGUAGUAGUGCCUCCUAAUAUAGAGGACUACCAGACCUCGUCGGACGUCAUUGUGCGAGAAGGCGCGAACGUGACGCUAACGUGCAAAGCGACAGGAAGCCCGAAACCGACCAUAAGCUGGAAAAGAGACGACGGCUCGAUGAUUUCAAUUAACAAGACUUAUUCCGUGAUGGAAUGGGAUGGCGAGAUGCUGGAAAUCACACGUAUCUCGAGACUGGACAUGGGCGUUUAUUUAUGCAUCGCGACAAAUGGCGUCCCUCCGACUGUUAGCAAGCAGAUCAGAGUCUCGGUUGAUUUCCCCCCUAUGCUCUGGAUACCGCACCAAUUGGUCGGUGCACCCUUGGACCACUCAGUCACGUUGGAAUGCCACACCGAGGCUCAUCCAACUUCUUUGAAUUACUGGACCAGGGAGGAUGGCCUGAUGAUUCAGGGUAGCAACAAAUACAAGACCACCUCCACACCGGAGAAACCCUCGUACAAGACGCAUAUGACGUUGACGAUACACGAUCUGCAGGAGGAGGAUUACGGCAGCUACAAGUGCGUGGCGAAAAACCCACGUGGGGAGACCGACGGCACCAUUCGCCUGUACACGUCUUGUAAGUUGAAAAGCAUAGGGACGAUCGACGAAAAUUACAAAACGAGUAAUCGUUAAGGGGGACAAACGGAAGCGACCCUGGUAGAUGGCGCGCGUAUCGAAACGUGCACGAGGAAUGGCGCAAUUAUAAGAAUUGCCGGUACAAAGAGCAAUUCAGACGAGGGCAAAGACGAAUAAAAUUUCUUCUCUCGCGACGGGAAAAGAAGAAAGGUCGUAAGUUAACGCACGAACGAACGGCUACGAAAUGGGAGUCAAACGAUCGUUUGAACUUCGUACGAAACAACAAUUACGGAACAGUCAACGUUAUACGUCGCAACUAGCAUUGCUCUAACAUUAUCUGCGACGUAAUGUUCUUGGCAAUUCAAAACUGUGUUUUUAUUGAAGAAACGAGCAAAUUCUUGUUGAUUAAUUGUCGUC